GGGCGGUACUUUAUAUUGUCUCAACUAACCCUCAGACCCCCCUGAACUAGGUUACUAUUAUUAUACUUUGUGCGCAAAAACAACAAAAUUAAAAUUGCGGGGAAAUACACGUAACAAAAACUUAGCCAUCUUCACCAUUCUUAAGUGUGCAUACAGUCCAGCAAUGCCAAGAACAUCCACACUGUUGCUCAGCCGAUCUCCACAACUUUUCGUUUCGCAAAACUAAACUUCUGUACCUAUUAAACAAUUCCCCAUUUCCUCCUUCCCUAAGUCCCUGGCAAGCCCUGUUCUACUUUAUGUCUCUAUGUACUGUAUUAUUAUACUGGUUUUACAGACCGAGAAAUCCAGGUUCAGAGAGUGAUCUGCUUGUAGGAGACAGAAUCUGGCCUUGAGCUCGGGGCCCCACGCAUACUCUGAGUCACUCUGAAGCACGGUUUCACCUGAGACAGCGUCUGUGCUGCGUUUGCCUCUCCCAUGACCAUCGUGGCCACUGGGUGCCAGGGCCCUCCUCUGGGCCCCUGCGCUUUGCAGCCGUUCUCACGUGUAAUCCUCACGGCAGCCUUGCAGUCACUGACGGGCAGUGUCCUAUCUCCCAGUGCCAAGCUGAUAUAGGACAGAUACACUGUAAAUGUGGAAUCAGGCCUGAUGCCUGUCAAUAGAGUAAACAGUACUAAAUAAGCCUGUGGCACAUUUUUAAUGCAACUGUUUACAUUUUUUCAAAGUAGUGACACUCUCAGGAGAAAACCAACUGAAAUGCAUGAGGUCAGAAAGAGCUUCCCAGUCCCCGCCUCCCCCCUCUCCUCCUGCAGAGUCAAUCUGCUCUUCUCACCCCAGGCCACCCCCCACCCCAUCUGCACCUUGUCACCAGCACUGCUGACCCACACUCAGAGCCAGAGGCAGGCAGGUGGGCGGGCAAAGGGACAUAAGAGACCGUGCCUGCUCUGCUUCCUCCCCUGCCACUCCACCCCCACGUUCUUCCCUCCAACCAUACCCAAUCCUGACCAUUCUGAAACACGCUCUGUCCUUUCACGCCUCCCUGACUGCGCACAUGCUGUUCUGGAAGACUGGAAUGCUUUCCCUCCCCUCGUUCUCCACCUCCAAGACUCCUACGGUCUCUGCGAGCCAGCUUUGUCGCCUCCUCUGUGAAGACUCCUCCCCUACCCACCUCCCCAAGCUCUGAGUCCGCCCCUGUUUGGAGCAGACUAGUUAGCUCAUCAGAGUGCUCUCGCAUCUGGACUGAAGUGACCGUCUGUAACUCAGUGUGUUCCCCACGCUCCCAGCUCCUUGUGCUAAGAUGAGGACAUCUUCAUCUCUGCUCCAAGCAGGGGUAAAGAGGAUUUUGGAUCACUGAUUUUUAUUUUUUUUAAUGUUCUUGGUAUAUUUCAAAAUGAAGAGACAACAAGAUCACAAAUAUUGAGGCAUCUUUUUCAAGGUCUAGCAAAUGAAUACUUCCAAAUACAAAAAAUUAUAAUUGUGCCGCUCACAGAUAAUUAUAUGAUUUAUUAAGAUAUAUUAUUAAAUAUUAAUAAACAUAUGAUUUAUUAAAGCAUAAGAAAUAUAAUAUUUUGUAUUAUCAGUUCAGUUCAGUCGCUCAGUCGUGUCCGACUCUCUGUGACCCCAUGAAUCGCAGCACGCC
Bos taurus (domestic cattle) is the source of this 1636-nucleotide long non-coding RNA. The record is from Ensembl. NCBI's taxonomy places the organism in Eukaryota, Metazoa, Chordata, Mammalia, Artiodactyla, Bovidae.